UGGCAAUUUGACUUCAUGAAGCUUCAACAUUGAAUCAUUAACAUCAAUCAGCAUAAUUCUGGGACAAUGGUCUGCAUGGAUAUUUUAUUGACCAGAAUGGUGGAGUGUGGUGAUGGGAUUUAUUGUUUGAAAAUGGGUUCUACAAAGGGCGUUCUACUGUGGACUGUGUAACAACCCACCGCAAGUUUAUGGUGAAUAUUUUUCUACAUAUG
Molecule: long non-coding RNA, 212 nt
Organism: Osmia bicornis bicornis
Lineage: Eukaryota; Metazoa; Arthropoda; Insecta; Hymenoptera; Megachilidae
Exons: 4
Source: RefSeq, a predicted model, not a curated record